This 466-nucleotide ribosomal RNA is filed under the name uncultured bacterium. RNAcentral describes it as "partial 16S ribosomal RNA". It matches the Rfam family "Bacterial small subunit ribosomal RNA", at positions 28 to 507 of the family's 1533-position model. The record is from RNAcentral.
GAUGAACGCUGGCGGCGUGCUUAACACAUGCAAGUCGAACGAUGAAGCCCAGCUUGCUGGGUGGAUUAGUGGCGAACGGGUGAGUAACACGUGAGUAACCUGCCCUUAACUCUGGGAUAAGCCUGGGAAACUGGGUCUAAUACCGGAUAGGAGCGUCCACCGCAUGGUGGGUGUUGGAAAGAUUUAUCGGUUUUGGAUGGACUCGCGGCCUAUCAGCUUGUUGGUGAGGUAAUGGGUCACCAAGGCGACGACGGGUAGCCGGCCUGAGAGGGUGACCGGCCACACUGGGACUGAGACACGGCCCAGACUCCUACGGGAGGCAGCAGUGGGGAAUAUUGCACAAUGGGCGCAAGCCUGAUGCAGCGACGCCGCGUGAGGGAUGACGGCCUUCGGGUUGUAAACCUCUUUCAGUAGGGAAGAAGCGAAAGUGACGGUACCUGCAGAAGAAGCACCGGCUAACUACGUG